ACAUGCAAGUCGUACGCUUCUUUUUCCACCGGAGCUUGCUCCACCGGAAAAAGAAGAGUGGCGAACGGGUGAGUAACACGUGGGUAACCUGCCCAUCAGAAGGGGAUAACACUUGGAAACAGGUGCUAAUACCGUAUAACAAUCGAAACCGCAUGGUUUUGAUUUGAAAGGCGCUUUCGGGUGUCGCUGAUGGAUGGACCCGCGGUGCAUUAGCUAGUUGGUGAGGUAACGGCUCACCAAGGCCACGAUGCAUAGCCGACCUGAGAGGGUGAUCGGCCACAUUGGGACUGAGACACGGCCCAAACUCCUACGGGAGGCAGCAGUAGGGAAUCUUCGGCAAUGGACGAAAGUCUGACCGAGCAACGCCGCGUGAGUGAAGAAGGUUUUCGGAUCGUAAAACUCUGUUGUUAGAGAAGAACAAGGAUGAGAGUAACUGUUCAUCCCUUGACGGUAUCUAACCAGAAAGCCACGGCUAACUACGUGCCAGCAGCCGCGGUAAUACGUAGGUGGCAAGCGUUGUCCGGAUUUAUUGGGCGUAAAGCGAGCGCAGGCGGUUUCUUAAGUCUGAUGUGAAAGCCCCCGGCUCAACCGGGGAGGGUCAUUGGAAACUGGGAGACUUGAGUGCAGAAGAGGAGAGUGGAAUUCCAUGUGUAGCGGUGAAAUGCGUAGAUAUAUGGAGGAACACCAGUGGCGAAGGCGGCUCUCUGGUCUGUAACUGACGCUGAGGCUCGAAAGCGUGGGGAGCAAACAGGAUUAGAUACCCUGGUAGUCCACGCCGUAAACGAUGAGUGCUAAGUGUUGGAGGGUUUCCGCCCUUCAGUGCUGCAGCUAACGCAUUAAGCACUCCGCCUGGGGAGUACGACCGCAAGGUUGAAACUCAAAGGAAUUGACGGGGGCCCGCACAAGCGGUGGAGCAUGUGGUUUAAUUCGAAGCAACGCGAAGAACCUUACCAGGUCUUGACAUCCUUUGACCACUCUAGAGAUAGAGCUUCCCCUUCGGGGGCAAAGUGACAGGUGGUGCAUGGUUGUCGUCAGCUCGUGUCGUGAGAUGUUGGGUUAAGUCCCGCAACGAGCGCAACCCUUAUUGUUAGUUGCCAUCA
Molecule: ribosomal RNA, 1100 nt
Filed under: Enterococcus sp. 630B2_12ASB
Lineage: Bacteria; Bacillati; Bacillota; Bacilli; Lactobacillales; Enterococcaceae
Description: bacterial SSU rRNA
Rfam family: Bacterial small subunit ribosomal RNA
Source: RNAcentral